This 695-nucleotide ribosomal RNA is filed under the name bacterium. Its description in RNAcentral is "bacterial SSU rRNA". It matches the Rfam family "Bacterial small subunit ribosomal RNA", at positions 84 to 813 of the family's 1533-position model. The record is from RNAcentral.
CUUCGGGGUGAGUGGCAGACGGGUGAGUAACGCGUGGGAACGUGCCCUUCAGUUCGGGAUAACCCAGGGAAACUUGGGCUAAUACCGGAUACGUGCGAGAGCAGAAAGAUUUAUCGCUGAAGGAUCGGCCCGCGUCUGAUUAGCUAGUUGGUAGGGUAAUGGCCUACCAAGGCGACGAUCAGUAGCUGGUCUGAGAGGAUGAUCAGCCACAUUGGGACUGAGACACGGCCCAAACUCCUACGGGAGGCAGCAGUGGGGAAUAUUGGACAAUGGGCGCAAGCCUGAUCCAGCCAUGCCGCGUGAGUGAUGAAGGCCUUAGGGUUGUAAAGCUCUUUCGUCCGGGACGAUAAUGACGGUACCGGAAGAAGAAGCCCCGGCUAACUUCGUGCCAGCAGCCGCGGUAAUACGAAGGGGGCUAGCGUUGUUCGGAAUCACUGGGCGGUAAAGGGCGCGUAGGCGGCUUUAUAAGUCGGGGGUGAAAGCCUGUGGCUCAACCACAGAAUUGCCUUCGAUACUGUAUGGCUUGAGACCGGAAGAGGUAAGUGGAACUGCGAGUGUAGAGGUGAAAUUCGUAGAUAUUCGCAAGAACACCAGUGGCGAAGGCGGCUUACUGGUCCGGUUCUGACGCUGAGGCGCGAAAGCGUGGGGAGCAAACAGGAUUAGAUACCCUGGUAGUCCACGCCGUAAACGAUGAA